RNAcentral lists this ribosomal RNA (435 nucleotides) under Paradorippe granulata. Its description in RNAcentral is "partial 12S small subunit ribosomal RNA". The record is from RNAcentral. Lineage: Eukaryota; Metazoa; Arthropoda; Malacostraca; Decapoda; Dorippidae.
GGUGAAAUUUUUUUUAUUUUAAAUAUUAAAAAACUAAUUUUGAGUCUAAAAAAUAUUAGAGGUAAACUAGGAUUUGAUACCCUACUAUACUAAUAUAAAAUAAUAUUUACCUUGUAUAAUUAAAAGUUAUGUUCUUGAAAAUAAAAAAAUUUGGCGGUAGUUUAAUCUUAUCAGAGGAAUCUGUUUUUUAAUCGACACAACGCGUUAAAUUUUACUUAGGUUUGUAUACCGUCAUUUAAAUUGAUUUGGGAGAAAUCAAUUAAAAUUAAAAUUUUAAAUAAAUUAGAUCAAGGUGCAGCAUAUAAAUAAGAUAAAAUGGAUUACAAUAAUUUUAAAUUAUUUGAAUAAUUUGUUUGAAGGUGGAUUUGAUAGUAUUAUAAUAUAAUAAAAUAGAAGUUUUAGCUCUAAAUUAUGUACAUAUUGCCCGUCGCUUUC